This is a long non-coding RNA of Salvelinus fontinalis (brook trout), 3705 nucleotides long. RefSeq lists it as uncharacterized. NCBI's taxonomy places the organism in Eukaryota, Metazoa, Chordata, Actinopteri, Salmoniformes, Salmonidae. The record is from RefSeq and is a predicted model, not a curated record. The transcript has 4 exons.
UCUUGGCAAAAUAUUAGUAUCUCCUUUAAAACAAUACAACCACUAGCAUGUUAUUUACCUACUUGGUAACCUACACGGUAUACAUAUUUAUUGGUGUUAACAAGUGCCCUUUGUAAAAAAUAUUGAUAACUUUUCAGCACAAGAAUAACAAGGAUGUUAGCUACUACGUUACAUGCUAGCUAACGUUAGUUGAUUAGCGCGGUGCUAAACACACUCCAUGUUAAAAUGGAAAUUUGGUUAAAUUAAGAAAGAAAAACAGUUAUUUGGCUACGUUUGGCAAAUAGCAUUUUACUAUCAGUUUAAAUCGGAUUAACGUUACUUGUGAAAUUCUGCUAAGUGUACUGUAGUAUAAUUGUAGCUAAGCUUGCUGUUAAAUAGUACCACUCUAGCCAGCAGCACACAGCGCCAAAUUGCAGACAAAUUACUGACUAGUCAUUUAUUUUGAUAACCUGUAUAACAGCUAGCUACAAAAGCCAACUGUAGAUAUGCUCGUAGUUAUAAUUACUAUUAUAUGGUGUGGUAAUGAACUUUUAUCGGUUUUACUAUUGUGGUUGUAUUCAGUGGCUUGCUAGCCAAACAUCAGAUAUAGGCAUGUGUACGUUAACCAAGUAAAUUAUCCAGGGUAUGUUGUGGCAUUUAGCGCGAUGCUAAUUAACAGCAUACUAGCAUGGUGUUAUGACCGUUAGGACACGUGGCCGAAUUUGCCCAUGUUAGUUAAAGUGUGUUUAGUUAGCAUUGGGCUAGAUAGCAGUGGUCGGAAUCAUGUGCUGAUAAAAGCUGCUUGUUGGCUAGCUUGGAAAUAGUUUGAUAACCUGCUUAAUAGUACAAAGGAAAGGUGUUUGCUAGCCAUGCUUCUAAUUAGUAUUGUGAGUUAAACCCUUUAUUUUUUUCAAAAUAUAUUAUUUAAAAACCUAGCUAAGAAUAUUCUAAUGAUUAAUUAGCCUAUUUUUGAAAGUAGUAAUGUUAGCAUAUAUUCUGUUAUUUUACAAUUGUUAGUUUGGGUGUAACGAGAUGUUGAACAAUCCAUGUUAUACAAAUACAUUUAGCAGUUAGUAAACAGGUUUACCUAGACAGCACUUAUAUCUUGAAUUUUUAAUCAAUUUCAGAAUAAUUUGUUAAUUAACAUAUCAACUAAAGUGAAUUUAAAAAAUGUUUGUAAACAUUCUUUUUUAGAUUCUUGGAAAGCCAAAAGCAUUAUUCCUUCAAUGUGUAACGGCAUUCCUCCUCCUCUGACGAGGAGAAGUUUGAAGGAUCGGAGGACCAAUGCGCAGCAAGUGUCCAUAACGUUUAUUUUAAAACAAACUCAACACUAUGAAAUACAAAACAAUAAAUGUGAACGAAACUGAAACAGUACCUUGUGGCAACAAACACUCACACGGAAACAAACACCCACAAACCAAAAGUGAAACCCAGGCUACCCAAGUAUGAUUCUCAAUCAGGGACAACGAUUGACAGCUGCCUCUGAUUGAGAACUAUACCAGGCCGAACUCAAAACCCCAACAUAGAAAAACACACAGACUGCCCACCAACUAACGUCCUGACCAUACUAAAUAAAGACAAAACAAAGGAAAAAGGUCAGAACGUGACACAAUGGAGGAAGUGGAACUAGCUUGUCUUUGUAACGGCUGUCGUCUUCCUCGGACGAGGAGAGGAGAGACGGAUCGGUGGACCAAUACGCAGCGAGGUAUGUUGACAUAAUGAAUUUAUUGAAAAAACUGAAGAACACGACGAACACUUGAAUAAUUACAAAACAAAUAAACGAAUGUAGACAGACCUGGACACGAACUUACAUACAAUGUGAAGAACACAUGAACCAGGAAAACAGACUAUAUAAAACGAACUAACUAACAAAAACCGUAACAGUUCCGUGUGGCGUAACAUACAGACACUGACACAGGAGACAAUCACCCACAAACAAACAGUGAGAACAACCUACCUUAAUAUGACUCUCAAUCAGAGGAAAUGCCAAACACCUGCCUCUAAUUGAGAGCCAUACCAGGCAACCCUUUAACCCAACAUAGAAACACAACACAUAGAAAUGCCCACCCAGCUCACGCCCUGACCAAUAAACACAUACAAAACAAGAGAAAACAGGUCAGGAACGUGACAGUCUUCCUUCAGACCUUUGUGCAUUUUGAGAUGAAACGUGAUUAGAGGACACAAGGAACUACAUAAGUUAAUGUAAUACGCUUUCCAAAAAUGUAUUCCUUUUAUCUGUAGUGCUCUUAGGCUGGUUGUAAAAAUCCUAAAACUCUGACUGUUUAUAGGUCACACAAAUGCAGGGCUCUAUACAGUGUACGUGUUUUACUCACAUUUUCUGAAGUAAUUUAUGGAUUUAAAUCAUUGUUGUUUUCAAAGUAUUUCUGUCAUUUAGUUUCAUAGCUUGACUCUGAAUCCCUUAACUAUAUUUAACAUUGAGCGCAGUGGCAGUCACAGGUUGUCAUAGAUGCAUUUGAAAUAUCCCAACUGAGACUCAGCUAGUUUUCAUGUUUCCUAGCUAUGUAUAUAAUCAAGAUAUAUUUUCCCCAAAUCAGUAUAAGUACUGUAGCUCCAUUACCAUGGUAACCCUUUGGGUUGAAAGUGGCAGCGGAUCAUUUUAAUAAUUUUCCUAUAUUAAAUGCUUAUAGGGUUUUUUAACAAGUGUUUAUUGCUUUAUCUUUGUAGCAAUGUAAUUGGCUAUUUUGCUUGAUGGCCUUAGUGCCCUGGCUGAUUGUUUUGGUGCACUGGCAGAUUAGGCACCCCCUUAAGGCAUAGUGGCCGUGUCCCUAAAAUUCCUUCCCUGGUAUGUUAUGCUCUUCAAACAUGUUGCUCUGGAGUUCACGAGACUGGUGUCUGUGGACCUCAAGAAGACAUUUAAUGAAUGCCUGGACAGUCGUCUUUCCAAGCUCCUUGAAUUCUCCUGGGCCAAGAGUGGUGGAGGGAUGGAGCUAAAACACCUUAUGGACAGUCUUGACAAAGACAGUUCCAAUCAAAGGAAGAGGCUGUGCUCCAAGGCUUGCCAGACUUCCUGCGAGAAGACCCUACCAAUGUUUUGAAGACGUGAGAAGACAACUGAUUCUGAGGAAGUCACUCGCGGAGUGAAAAUCGGUAUACUUGUCAUUGUGGAUGGAGCUGCAGCAGAUGACCCAAUGCCAGCUGACAAUGUGGAUGUUGCCCUUGUGAUAGAAGAGCAAGGGAUCAUACAUGAGCUUCACAAUGUCCCAAAUGCAGUGCCACUUUGAUUGGACUUCUUUAUUGUCUGAACCUGGAUUACCCAAAAUGUUUGAGGUACACUUUUGAGGUAGGUCAGAAAAUAUUCUUGAAGAUUGGUGCAGAAAACUGUACAGAAAAAGUGCAUGGGCUGAAGAACCGUCUUCUUCGUUAAGACAACUAAUUGGUGUGUUUUUGUUUUACUCGCAGUAGAGUUAAUUCCUCGGACAAUGAUGCUGUUAUUUGCCUAAAUCUUACAGAUCUCAGUUUUUGGUAGACUUAAGUUACCCUAUUUUUACGUGUGCCCUUCAGUCUACAAACUACAACCAUCUUUCGUUAGAGACCAUUGAUUUGCUAUCAUCUCUUCCCAUUAACUACAUUGCAUUCUUAAAAUGUUGUGCGUGUUAGAAUUUCACAUUCAACACCAACUUGUCUUAGAAACCAUUCUGAAGAUUGUCUUUGAAUUUUUAUUUACCGUGCCAUAAAACUGUUUCAAUGGUGCCAUUUACAAAUGUG